UGUGUGAGUGAUGUUACUGAAGGUCCAAUUACCCCACUCCCUAAAUCCCGAUUCCUCAACAACCCAUAAAUUCCUAACCCCUAAAAAGCCGGCUACGCACUUGUAACGCCUCUAGUGUUUCGGCUGUGUAAGGACAGCGGCGGUUGCUUACUAGCAAGUGAUCCGUGUGUUCGUCUGCCGGCAAGUACCACAAAAAAAGGAAUGUAAUUUACAAUAGUACCGUAAAACAUGGCAACUUUACCAUAUUUUGUAACAAAAAUCGAAAUAUAUUUUUAACCAUAAGACGCAUAGAAACCAAAACUAUAUAUUUAAAAUUGUAGUCUAUCUGGCUCACUUUACUGUAAUCGUCAUUAUAUACAAACGCUUACUUUAGCCGUAGUAAAGAAAAAACAACAUGGGUAAAGAUACCAAAUUUUUGGCAACUUUACCUACGCGCCGUAUUCAUCGUGUAUUGCAUAUUAAAGAGUUGUUGAGGUACAGAGGGCUUCAUCUAGGACCUCUUCGUAUUAUAAUGCAAACAAUAUGAGGAAAUCUAUAAAGAUAACGGCUACACAGACAGUAGGUAUAGUUGCCACGGGUUUCAUCGUAAUUUACAUACAAAUAAUUUGUUACGCUCGGGGUUGUCAAAAAAAGAGGAUUUUUUUAUGACAUGUAUAUUUAAAAAAGAAAUUAAUAAACCUUAAACCUAAAGUAAAAAAAAGCAUAAAUAUCUGACAAAAAUAUUGUUCCCUUUUAAACUAAAUUAAGUUCUAAAAUUUUAAGUAUUUAUGUUUAAAAUUGUAAAAAAAGGCUACAAAAUAAUGUUUAAUCUUUUGACUUUUUAAUUUUUUGACUUCACUAUCUCCAUAGCUAAUUUUAACAUUACUUUCGUAUACUUUUUAUAUUGUCUAGCUCCGAGUUUUCUGCGGUUUUGUUUCAUGUGAGCCAUUUUGGCUCUAAAACAAAAGGUAUUAUUAAAUACAUUAUAACUUAUCAUCCAGGAUAUUCACUAUUAUGCUGGGAAAUUUAGGUAUUCGAAAAUGGUUACAUACACACAAACAAGGAAAAAAACAUUUAUUGCCAACCCUAACUGUAAGUAAAGUUGCCACAAAGCAGGCCGUGGCAACUUUACCUAACCUGUGUCAACAUUACCGAAGCGAUUAUUUAUCAAUAAAUUAAAGAAAAAGCAAUUGCUGACAUUACAACAGUAAUCCCAACUAUAUUAUACAUACAAGAUCAAAAUUUCACUCACCUGUGACAAAUAAUUUAGGCUCUGUGAGCACUAUUUAGGAACUACUAACUUUUAGCACAUUUUCACGCACUACACUGUAACGGCCAUUACUGGCAUAAUAGCAGUCUUACGUCUACGCAAAAUAUAGUAAAUAUUUCCUUUUGAAGUCUAAAAAAUACUACUAUUACAAAACAGAAUUCUAAUGGGUAGAUUUUUAGAUAAAUGAGUUUAUACCGAAUACCUAUAGUAUGGUAAAGUUGCCAAGGGUCUAGUAAAGUUGCCAUAGUUUACCGGUAUUAAAAUCAAUUCAAAAAUUUUAUUAUAAGAUUGACCUAUGAAUAAAUUAAUGAUAUUUUAUUUAUAGUGUCAAUUUAUUUAAUUCUAUUUAACAUCAUUAAGAGCAUAUCCGCACAGCACAAUUUGCGCGGAUUUAUUUCCGCACAGCAUUGCGUCUUUGCGUAAACUUCAGAUUAUUUCUAGCGCCAAUUUUAUUGCCUGUGCGGAUACUUCCAUGACAAAUUCUUCUUCCAUUCCAUUAGAAAAUUGGAAACAAUUUAUAUAUUUUUUAUCCUAAAUGUUAGUAAGUAAUGUAGUGUACAUACAUAUGUACCUACAUAAUUAUAUAGAAUUAAUAAAUGGUGAUAUGGAUAUGGGUAACUAAUUUUAAUAUUUUUGUAUAUUAUUCUUGCGAUGACUAAUCAAGAUUACUGUUAUUUUUUUAUUUUAUUUUACUAGUAAAAGAUCUCAAGUGUUGUUUUUUAUUGUGCCAUAGUCGAAUAUUUUGUGGUAUCGAUUAUGGCAAUUUUAAUAAGAUAAAAAGACUAAUUACUCGUAUAUCUCAUCGUUAUUAUUUUAGUAAUUGCCAGAAUGUUAUUUUAUCUACCUCCUUAAGGUCUUUUACUAUUUUUAUUAGGUAUUAAAUAGAACAAUUAUAUGGCAACAAAGGUAUAUGCUUUAAUAAAAUUUUAUUACUUACAAUUUUUUUUUAUUUAUUAUUAAGAAUAUUUGAGAUACUAUACAUUUUGUGAGUUGUUUUGUAUAAAAUAUAAUCAGACCCUGAAAGACAUGUGCCAAAAAGCUACUAUGGUUUAACAACUAAGAAUUCCUUCUAAGAACUACUUUUCUCUUCUUUCAGUUCACUUAAUCGACACACUCAACGGUAAAACGUGGGCCUUAUUCCGUGAACACCCAUAUUUCUACAGAUACAAAACUAAAAAUGGACAUAAAUGGGUAUGCACCACGUUUCCAAGAUGCAAGUCGUUCAUCUUUCUCGAUGACGACAACAAUUUACUGGAGUAUCUAUGGAACCAUGAACAUAAGAACAGACCGAUGAUCAAAUGCCCCAACGGAAAAUACAUGCACUAACUGUUACCUUGGACAACUACAAUAGGGAUGAUGACGGGUUCACAUAAUCGACACGAGCAGAGGUAAAAAGCCUUAUUCCGAGAUCACCCUUAUUUCUACAGAUACGAUAUUUCCAAAGUGCAAGUCGUUUCUUUAUCUUAAUCAUAAUAAUAAAGUGGGAUAUUUCUGAAAUGAUGAACAUACAAACGGACCGGUAAUCAGAUGUUCGAAUGGGGAAAAACAUAUUAUAUACGUAGGACGUAAAUGUAUAAUGAAAUAAUCUUUAUCUUUAUUCUUAUUAAAAAAAAAUACACAAAUCAACUCAAAAUUGUUUUAUUUUUAAUAUAGCUUCCAAUAAGCCAUAACCUUAAUACCCAAUUCCUUUUGAAUCCCUGUUGAAGAACUUAAAAAGCUUAAUGUUUACUAUAAACAGAAGAUGUUUUAUAUGAAAAUAUUUUAGGUAUCAUUACAAAAUCAAUUUGAAUGCUAUGAACUAUGUGUUAUUUGUAUUUUUAAUAUUUCUUUGUUACCUAUGUCUAUAUACUGACUUGAGACAACAAAUUAAACGAAUAUGCUUUGCAUUUCUUCCUUCCAAAAGUAUUUUGUUUUGUUUUAUUAUUUGGUUUUUAAUAUGGUAUCUUUAUUUCAGUGAAACUAAUAACAAUGCUCAACGGUAAACAGCUGGUUGUGUACAAAGGAUAUACAUUUUAUAAUCAGUAUGCUAAAAAAGGACCUGCUUCGCUCGAUAGAUGGCGGUGUACCAGUCAACCGAGGUGUAAAUGCUUUCUGAUUCUAGAUAAGUCGCUGGUAAUCCACGAAGCUCAAUGUGACCAUAUGCAUCCCAAAAAGACUCUCAUUAAAAAUCAUUGUGGAAGGUAUAUUCGAGUUUAGAAUAUAAGUUAUUCAUUGAAUAUACUCAGUAGCUAUGUACUCGGUGAUACCUCAAAAAAAAACACAAAAAGUUAACGGCGUCAUUAUCUUCAAACAAAAGUUAACAAUUCUGCCGAUUGGAACUUGAAUUUGGUUUCAAUAAAUUAAAAUAAGGGAUCGGAUAAAAAUAAGGAGGAUAAUAAGCUACCACGAUGCUUAAUAACGCAGGAGAAUAAUGAUAUCUUAAAUAAAAGUUAAAGUUUUUUUAAGAAACACGCUACUGUUGGUAUAACUGGGUGGUGGGUUAUAUUAGAAGAAAGCUUUAUCGUGCUUUUUUACGAAUCUGCUCUUAAUUUGGUUAUAUUUUAUAAUAAUUUUAUUUUAAAUCACUUGAAUAAUAUAGUCAUUUAUGUCUAAUUUAAUUUAAUUCCAAUUGAUUUACCAUGCAAUUUAGAGUAAGUAUAUACUAUGUAUAUUUUUUAAAUAGUAAUGUAUAAAUCAAAUAUAAUAGCUAUAUUUGCUGUUAAAAAGGUGUACGUAGUACAUAAUGAUCAAGGUUUUAGAUUAUUUAAGUUACAUAGAUGUCUCUUUGUUGUAUGUAAUAGGCGUGCAAAUAUUAGCUCUUAAUUGUUGCAAUACUACAUAUAAAAAUAAAUAUUUUAUUUUAAACUAAAAAUCAGUUUCUUUUUUCCAUGUUCCUGACACGAAUGUUAAAUAUGUCGACGGAUUUUCAACGAAAGGGGAAACAAGUAGCUUAAGUUAUUUUACCUCAUGCUUGAGGAGUGCACAUUAACCUCCGGGCUACCAUGACACUAACACCUUUAGUUAAGUCCUAAACUUAGAAAUGCUUUUGUUCAGCAUUAACAAAAAAACCUCAUGCUGUGUAUAUAUACGCUUCUUAUCCUAACCUCUUAGAAUAUGUACCAAAUUAUUUUACUCUUUUCCUAUUCCAAUAUGCUUGCGCUUUACGUGUGAAUGGCCUGACUGCAAAUGUUUAUUAGAACAUUUCUUCUUUCUUUAUAUUUAUAAUGCAAUGCAAUAACUAAUAUGAAAUUCAUACAUGAUAAAAACCAAAGAUAAUCGAUAUAAAUGUGAGUUUUUUUUAAUCAAUCCAUUUUUGUUUAUCCUUGAAAGUUUAUUAACAUUAACAUUUGUUUUAGCGAAACUAAUCACCUUACUCAAUGGGAAAAAGCGUCUUCUCUACGAGGGAUAUACGUACUAUGUGCGUUAUGAGUCUAAACACAAAAAUGAGACACACUGGGCCUGUUCACAAUAUCCUAAGUGCAAAGCCAAUCUUUACGCGAACAUUCACCACGUUGUAUCCAAAACGAUUGGAGAACACUGUCAUGGAAAAAAGAAGAUGUAUGUUAGUGCUUCGGGACUAUAUGUUGUAUACUAGUUCCUUUUAAAGCUCGCAGAAAGCCGCGGUAUAUAAGUCGCUUCUUAUCAAUAAUGCUGAUGUCAUUGAAGUAGCCAUAAGCUAAGUCAAUUUGUGACAUGAUUAUGAUUAAUAUCUAUAGGUAUAUUGCAAUUUAAAUAAAAUUAUGACUUUAUUUUUAUAUAGUAAUCUACCACAUACACACCUAAUUAUAGUGAUCAAAUGUCUGCCAUAAUGUCUAUAAGAAUACUAAGUCUACCUUGAAACGAAUAAAACGCUUUUUUUAAAAGUAACAGAAAGUAAUUUUCAUUAACAUGUGUUAUGAAUGUACUCCUGUAUUCUUUAGUCAAAAAUGUCUCAUUUAUUAUUUCUCUGUUGUCUGUCUGCUGUUUUUUGUUGUGUCUCUCUUUUAUGUAGGUACCAAAAGUUGCUAAAUUAAUGUAUAGAAUAAUAUUUUAAGUCAGUUUUAUUAUCGAAGAGAUGUGUUCAAUAUUCCAAAGACCCACCUCAUCAUAGGUGUAAUUUUAAAGGAUGCCCUAUAAAAAGCCACCGGCUUUAACAUCGUUCAAAUAUGCAAUGGAAAUAACUCCUUAUCCACGAGGUUUAAUCAUUUCAAUUAAAAAUGUCUUAAUACAGUAUUCCAUAUUUAUUUUUCAAAUAAAAUCAUUCAUUGCCAUACUCAGAGCCAUUUAAUCUUAAUCUUUAGUAAUAGUUUUUGGAACAAAAUCGUUACUCAAUGUCUGAGUACAGAAAUUACUCAUAAUCACAUAUAUUAUACUUUCUUAAUCAUUUAAUUUGUUUUAGUGCAAAUAAUAAGAGUGGAAGAUGGCAAAGAGUUUUUGAAAUACAACAACUAUUAUUAUACAAAAGUUCCGUAUCUUAAAAGGAAAUGGAGGUGUGUGAAAACGAAUACGUGUUAUGCCAGUAUUAGUAUAGAUGAUGAUGGGAGACUGAAGCAGUCUCGGAUCCAUGAUCAUCCACCUAAAGGGUUCCAUAAGACUAAGGAUGGGCAGUACAUUUGAAAAGACAUCUGUAGGUAGUCUCUACAUCAACAGCGUGUACCAACUCACUGUGGGACUUUAGCCCAUCAGGUCCCAUCAGGUUCAGAGAUUAAGGGGACUGGGAGUGCACCUGUGUUUGUAACACGUUUGUGCACUAUAAUAUCUCCUAGGUAGGGGCCUAGUUUAGUUAGACUUGACACAUAAUUGAAAUCGAUUGGGAGGCUUUAUAAAAGGACCCAAGACACACACAUUCUCUGAAAAUGUACUAUAAAAACCCUGACGAAAUGUAUAUUUGUAAUACAAGAAUUUUAUGGCAUGAGGACUGAAUGGAUGGCUAUUACAAAUGUGACUAUUAAUUAAUAAAUGACGUGUUAUGGCAAUAGAAGAGGAAGCUAGUGGUGUUUGUUUUAUUUUUUUUACUCGUAUUCUGCCUGUUCAAUGUGUUACCCUGAUUUGCAGGUCCUGUACCCUUAGUACAAGUUUCCUUUACGUUUAAAGUAAAUCAAACUUAUACUAAGAGUACCGAUCCUAUAUCCGCAUACCUCUAUUACUCCCUAUGUUAUUUUGUUAGCUUUUUUCUAUUCACUAAUUUAGUAACGGUAAAACGGGGUGAAUAAGGGUUCGAGUUCGAGUUCCUAUUCACCCCGUUUUACCGUUAUAUCAAAACAAAAAUUAUUAUUAAUUUCUGAAUUCUUUUUCAGGGGAAUUUAUCACUACAAUUCAAGAUAAAACUUUGUUUAGAUAUAAAAGUUAUUGUUACGCUAGAACCUCGAAAGACUAUAUUUGGCGAUGCGUUCAUACGAGUUCCUGUUACUCCUCCUUGAUCAUUGAUGGUCAAUGUAAUGUGAUUAAGCAACCGAAAGAACAUUUACAUCCACCCAAAGAAUAUAUUAAAACUCAAACCGGAAAAUACGUCUCUGUUACUAUUCCAAAACAAAAAUUGGCUAGCCAGUGGUAUGCUGGAGUGAAUAGAAAACAUACUGUCUCGCGUAAAACUACGCGAGACAAUAUGUUUUCUAUUGUGUCUCUUAUGCCGGAAGACAUGGUUAAACCCUAAUAAUGUGAAACUCAGUUAAGUUAACGAAUCCUCUUCUGUCAUUUAUUCUUACGAUCUAAGUAUAGUCGAAUUACAUAUUAUUAUAAUGUGUUUGUGUUUUUAUUUCCUACAUUUUAUUUAGUAAAUAUUUUAAAAACAUUUAUAUUUUAUUUUUAUUUAAAACCAAAUUUUCCAUAUUCCUCUUUUUACUUUAAGUUUUUUUUUUUAUUUUAGUGUUAAGUUUAAAAUUUUAUUUUACAUUACGAUCGAAACUGACGAUUAAAAUUUCUUUCAGUACAACUGAUAACGACGGUUCAGGACAAAUUGCUGUUGAAGUACAAAGGGCAUUAUUACUCGAAGACUCCAUACUUGAAGAAAAGGUGGCGUUGCAUCAAUACUAACAACUGCUACGUCGGUGUUAUUGUGAACAAUGACUUCUCUAUCAAGAAGGAACCUGGUGAACACUGUCAUCCACCGAAGUUCUUCGUGGAAACCGAGGAUGGCAGAUACAAACUUGUCAAAGAUAAGGAUUAUGGGAAUAAGUCCAGCGAUUAUAUCGUUUACGAAUACUAAUGUUUAAUGUAACAGUCUAACUGCCGCACUUAGAGACAUUUAAUGAUGACUUAAACUAUUCCUUAGUAACGAUUUUGUUCCGAAAACAAUUGCUAAGUACUGGUUUAAGUAACCAUUGAAUUACUCUGAGUACGGCGGUAAUUAUCGUAACUACAGAUGAUUUCUUGGUCGUCGUUUUUUGAAAAAGUUUUGUUCUUAGUUUGAUCUGUAUGUUGGUAUAUUUGUAAGCGAUUAUCUCGCGUUUGGCUGCACCGAUUUAGAUGCGGAUUCCAGCAUAGUUGUUUUCAGACUUAGGUGAAGGUUUAACGGAUAUUACCUGGCUUGAACAAAAAUGGAGGCGGAUGCCCUUUUUAAAAAGGGUUUUUGACAUAUCAACUGGUUUAAGAGGCAAUUUAAAAGAUAUAGGUACCAACAUGUUCAUUUCUAUUCGUAAUAAGAAACUUCAAAAUAGGUUCAGUUGACAGAAAAUUAUGUCUAUAAUUUGAGAAUCGACAAAACGCACUGAGCAACAUCUCUUUGUCUGUCUUCUCUAAACAAUUUAACCUUCUAAACGCCAGAACACAACAACUUUAUCUUAUACUAUUCAUUUAGGCAAAAACUUACUUCUUAUUUCAUAAUAAUAUUGACUUUAUACCUGCCUCGUUGGUCGAGUGGUUGCAAGUGCAACUGCCGGGCAAGAGGUUUCCGUUUCGAUUCCCGGGUCGGGCAAAGUAUUGCUUGGCCCUUUUCAUAUAUAUUUUUUUGCUGUAACGUGCACCUCCGCCUAUCCAUUCUGGGAUAAAAGGCGUGACGAUACGAUACGAUAUUGAGUUUUUGGUGAUAUUUGAAGAGUAUAUAUAUGUUAAGGACAUUUUUGAUGCUAAACGAUGAUCGAUUAUUAUUAUUUUUUGUUCGGUUAGACUGUUAUAAUUACCUAUCACAAUAUAAUUAACUUUAUAUUGAAAUAUUUUUAGCGAUACCUACAUAUAUAACGCUUAAAUAUUAUGUAGUUACUCUCUUACCUCUUAUAAUUAAGUAAUUUGGUAGUGGGGAAAAUAUCUUAGUAUAUAAUAUGUAUUUCUCUUUUUCUAAAUAAUGUGUGUUUAGGUUAGUUAUUAGUAAAAUGUAUACUACGCAUGCGUAGGAAGAUUUUGUCAAAUUAAUGACGAAUAGUAAUGUAGCAAUUAAUUAUGUAUGUGAGUUUAUUGUUAUGUUAUCGGCUUACUCACGUGAGUCGACUAGUUUCAAGCAAUGCUAGAGGCUCAUAUUAAUGAGCAGCAUUCCGCGACACACGACGCGGGAAUUGUCGCGCUGCUAUUGGCUACUACAAUCGUCGUUACGUCAGUAAGCCGAUAACAUAAUAAUUAAUUUAGUAUAUAUCACGAAGGUAAUAAUAAUAUGUAAUGAGUUAAAUAAUAACCUUUCAAUUGGAAUUGUGUUGUUAUUUAUUUAAGUAAUGUGUUUUAAUUAUUUCUUUGUUAUAAAUAUCUUUUGUUUCAUUACACGUUGGUUCAGUACUCGAAAUGUAACGGUUGCUGUGCAACCUGAUAUUUCUUUUUAACCGACUUCCCAAAAAGGAGGAGGUUCUAAAUUCGGCCGGUAUGUUUUUUUUUUCUAUGUAUGUACACCGAUUACGCCGAGGUUAAUGGACCGAUUUGCGUGAUUCUUUUUGUCUUUGACGCGCAAUUUCUCAACUGAGGUCCCAUUUCAAAUUUUUGAACAAUGCAUUAUCUAAACUGCAAUUUGUGCGAGAAAUUAAAACUACCUACUAUAAUAUAAUAUCCCUUAUAUAAAAUGAUUUAAAUAAAAUAUCCCUGAUUAAAAAGGUUUUCUCAUAAAAUAAUUGGUACUGAGCAACGGUUUUGAAGCUGUAUCUCUUUGUCAUUACAAUAUGUAUAAUAUGAGAUUAUAUGCACUUAUAUUAUUAAAUUUGAGUAAAAUUAAGUAACAUAACCAUAUCUACAUAUUUGUAGCUAAACUUGUAUAGUUCUCGUCAUAUUAAUGUGCGUGUGCAGAUUACAAAGAAAAAAAAAAUGUUUUUUAUAAUAACAAUUUAAAGUUUCCUGGGGUCUGAUGGACCCUACCCGACUAUAUACAGGUUAACGUACCACAUUUUUGAUGUCGAGAAUUAUACAAACAACUUCUUUCUUAUAAAAAUUUCUAAUUAUAAUAAUGUCAUGAUAUUAAUGUCUUCUGUAACGAUUAGUGCACAUAAUCUAGUGCUAAACUGUUUAGAUACUAGAAUUCUAGAUGGAUAAAUUAUUUGUGAACUUUAGUACAUAGGUGACGUAGUUAUAAGAAAAUCGCUUUCGGCUUUUGUUUUAAAAUUUUAAGCAUUCGUUCUUCAGUACCCUUAGUACGAGUUUGCUUUACGUUGAACGAAAACGAAAAGAGAGUGCGUCCGGUGCUCCUAUUGGUUAGUUCAUUCGCGCUGGCCAAUCAGAGUGCCGAACGCGCUCUUGUUUCGUUUUCGUUCAACGUAAACUCGUUCUAAGGUUACUAACAAAUGUUAGGUUUACUGUAAAAUUUUUUGCUUAAUAUUUUAUUAUUUUUCUCUGAAUUUUGUGGAAAUGUAACAUAAUAAUCUUUGUUAUAGAUACCUCUAUAAUAUCUAAGAGUAAUAUGAUCUACCUGUACCUUCAUCACAACUGAGGCUAGUUUUAGGCAAAAAAUUACGGUAAACCAAAACGCUUUUGAUUUAAUUAAAUUAAUUUAGUUAUCGACUGUGCGGCCAACUUAGUUUUUUUUUAUUUUUAAUAAUUAAUAACUGGAAAUACCUAUUUUAUCAAAGUAUUGUAUCAAUUUCUUUUGAGAAUUUUUGACAAAAAAGUAAUAUGAUUUUGCGUAAUUGGUCUCGCAGUCUUAAUUGUAUUCUUUUAUUUUUUGGUGUAAUAAAGUGUUAAGUAAC
Long non-coding RNA from Spodoptera frugiperda (fall armyworm), 10299 nucleotides. RefSeq lists it as uncharacterized. The transcript has 2 exons. The record is from RefSeq and is a predicted model, not a curated record. Lineage: Eukaryota; Metazoa; Arthropoda; Insecta; Lepidoptera; Noctuidae.